UAGCCUAGUUGUUAAGGCUAUGGAUCGCCAAUCCGGAGACGGCGGGUUCGAUUCCCGU
Non-coding RNA from Aedes albopictus (Asian tiger mosquito), 58 nucleotides. Lineage: Eukaryota; Metazoa; Arthropoda; Insecta; Diptera; Culicidae. The record is from Rfam.